RNAcentral lists this ribosomal RNA (1378 nucleotides) under uncultured bacterium. RNAcentral describes it as "bacterial SSU rRNA". It matches the Rfam family "Bacterial small subunit ribosomal RNA", at positions 27 to 1395 of the family's 1533-position model. The record is from RNAcentral.
GAUUGAACGCUGGCGGUAUGCUUAACACAUGCAAGUCGAACGGAAACGAUACUAGCUUGCUAGUAGGCGUCGAGUGGCGGACGGGUGAGUAACGCGUAGGAAUCUGCCUGAUAGUGGGGGAUAGCCCGAAGAAAUUCGGAUUAAUACCGCAUAAUCUAUUCGUAGUAAAGUGGGGGACUUUCGAGCCUCACGCUAUCAGAUGAGCCUGCGUAAGAUUAGCUUGUUGGUAGGGUAAAAGCCUACCAAGGCGACGAUCUUUAGCUGGUCUGAGAGGAUGAUCAGCCACAUCGGGACUGAGACACGGCCCGAACUCCUACGGGAGGCAGCAGUGGGGAAUAUUGGACAAUGGGGGCAACCCUGAUCCAGCAAUACCGCGUGUGUGAAGAAGGCCUGAGGGUUGUAAAGCACUUUCAAUUGUGAAGAAAAGUUAGCGGUUAAUAACCGUUAGCCUUGACGUUAACUUUAGAAGAAGCACCGGCUAACUCCGUGCCAGCAGCCGCGGUAAUACGGAGGGUGCAAGCGUUAAUCGGAAUUACUGGGCGUAAAGCGUGCGUAGGCGGUUUAUUAAGUCAGAUGUGAAAGCCCCCGGGCUUAACCUGGGAACUGCAUUUGAAACUGGUCAACUAGAGUAUGGUAGAGGAAAGUGGAAUUUCUGGUGUAGCGGUGAAAUGCGUAGAUAUCAGAAGGAACAUCAAUGGCGAAGGCAGCUUUCUGGACCAAUACUGACGCUGAGGUACGAAAGCGUGGGUAGCAAACAGGAUUAGAUACCCUGGUAGUCCACGCCGUAAACGAUGAUAACUAGCCGUUGGGGGGAUUUACCCUUUAGUGGCGAAGCUAACGCGUUAAGUUAUCCGCCUGGGGAGUACGGCCGCAAGGUUAAAACUCAAAGGAAUUGACGGGGACCCGCACAAGCGGUGGAGCAUGUGGUUUAAUUCGAUGCAACGCGAAGAACCUUACCUGGUCUUGACAUCCUGCGAACUUUCUAGAAAUAGAUUGGUGCCUUCGGGAACGCAGUGACAGGUGCUGCAUGGCUGUCGUCAGCUCGUGUCGUGAGAUGUUGGGUUAAGUCCCGUAACGAGCGCAACCCCUAUCCUUAUUUGCCAGCACAUCAUGGUGGGAACUAUAAGGAGACUGCCGGUGAUAAACCGGAGGAAGGCGGGGACGACGUCAAGUCAUCAUGGCCCUUACGACCAGGGCUACACACGUGCUACAAUGGGAAGGACAAAGAGCCGCGAAGCCGCGAGGUGUAGCUAAUCUCAUAAACCUUUUCGUAGUCCGGAUUGGAGUCUGCAACUCGACUCCAUGAAGUCGGAAUCGCUAGUAAUCGUAGAUCAGAAUGCUACGGUGAAUACGUUCCCGGGUCUUGUACACACCGCCC